AGCCAUCAUUUAAAGAAAGCGUAAUAGCUCACUAGUCGAGUCGGCCUGCGCGGAAGAUGUAACGGGGCUGAAAUAUAGCACCGAAGCUGCGGCAUCAGACGAAAGUCUGUUGGGUAGGGGAGCGUUGUGUAAGCGGAUGAAGGUUAAUCGAGAGGUUGGCUGGACGUAUCACAAGUGCGAAUGCUGACAUAAGUAACGAUAAAACGGGUGAAAAACCCGUUCGCCGGAAGACCAAGGGUUCCUGUCCAACGUUAAUCGGGGCAGGGUGAGUCGGCUCCUAAGGCGAGGCUGAAAAGCGUAGUCGAUGGGAAACAGGUUAAUAUUCCUGUACUUGGUAAAGCUGCGAUGUGGGGACGGAGUAGGUUAGGUUAUCGCACUGUUGGAUAUGUGCGUUUAAGUUGGUAGGUGGGAAGUUUAGGCAAAUCCGGACUUCUAUUAAACACUGAGAGAUGAUGACGAGGCUCUACGGAGCUGAAGUAACUGAUACCACACUUCCAGGAAAAGCCACUAAGCGACAGGCUUUACUAAACCGUACUGAAAACCGACACAGGUGGUCAGGUAGAGAAUACUCAGGCGCUUGAGAGAACUCGGGUGAAGGAACUAGGCAAAAUAGCACCGUAACUUCGGGAGAAGGUGCGCCGGCGUAGAUUGUAGAGAUUUACUCUCGAAGGUUGAACCGGUCGAAGAUACCAGCUGGCUGCAACUGUUUAUUAAAAACACAGCACUCUGCAAACACGAAAGUGGAGGUAUAGGGUGUGAUGCCUGCCCGGUGCUGGAAGGUUAAUUGAUGGUGUCAUCGCAAGAGAAGCACCUGAUCGAAGCCCCAGUAAACGGCGGCCGUAACUAUAACGGUCCUAAGGUAGCGAAAUUCCUUGUCGGGUAAGUUCCGACCUGCACGAAUGGCAUAAUGAUGGCCAGGCUGUCUCCACCCGAGACUCAGUGAAAUUGAAAUCGCCGUGAAGAUGCGGUGUACCCGCGGCUAGACGGAAAGACCCCGUGAACCUUUACUAUAGCUUGACACUGAACAUUGAAUUUUGAUGUGUAGGAUAGGUGGGAGACUAAGAAGUAGUCACGCCAGUGAUUAUGGAGUCAUCCUUGAAAUACCACCCUUUAACGUUUGAUGUUCUAACGAAGAUUGCGGAACGCGGUCUCGGACAGUGUCUGGUGGGUAGUUUGACUGGGGCGGUCUCCUCCCAAAGCGUAACGGAGGAGCACGAAGGUUUGCUAAUCACGGUCGGACAUCG
Molecule: ribosomal RNA, 1244 nt
Filed under: Haemophilus influenzae
Lineage: Bacteria; Pseudomonadati; Pseudomonadota; Gammaproteobacteria; Pasteurellales; Pasteurellaceae
Description: bacterial LSU rRNA
Rfam family: Bacterial large subunit ribosomal RNA
Source: RNAcentral